Long non-coding RNA from Ictalurus punctatus (channel catfish), 1027 nucleotides. The record is from Ensembl. Lineage: Eukaryota; Metazoa; Chordata; Actinopteri; Siluriformes; Ictaluridae.
GUGAGUGUAAAACCGCUUCGCUUCCAUAUUAACAUCUUUAACGGCUGGCUUUGAACUUCUCAGUAGAGUUUUUUUUUUUUUUUUUUUUUUUUUUUAAAUGUAAGUGCGCAGUUUAAAGGGAACUUGGCCGUUAAAUUUCACCUAACGACACGCUGAAGGGUAGAACCAUCUAAACCUGUUAUUUUAAUGCAUAUCCUGUGUAGUGAACUCGUGGAGGAAGGAGACAGCCAAAGGGAUUGAGUCGCGGUCUGGUGUUUGGACAGUGAUUAACGUUUUCUGUGUCUGUCUCCGCCAAGCCACUAACCCAUCCUAUCUACCUCGAGAGCGGAUAACUACUACUAACACUUGGUGCAUAUGACAGCGUGUUAGUGUAAUGUUUUAGCACAGAGUUCGGCGUGUUACUAUAAUGUUUUAGCAUAGUGUUAAUGUAAUGUUUCAGCACAGGGUUACUGUAUUGCUUCAGCACAGAGUUCAGCGUGUUACUGUAAUGUUUUAGCACAGUGUUACUAGUGUUAGUGUAAUGUUUUAGCACAGCGUCAGUGUAAUGUUUUAGCACAGUGUUAUUGUAAUGUUUUAACACAGAUUUCGGCUGUUACUGUAAUGUUUUAGCACAGCGUUAGUGUAAUGUUUUAGCACAGUGUUAGUGUAAUGUUUCAGCACAGUGUUAUUGUAAUGUUUUAGCACAGUGUUACUGUAGUGCUUCAGCACAGCGUUCAGAGUGUUACUGUAAUGUUUUAGCACAGCGUUCAGAGUGUUACUGUAAUGUUUUAGCACAGCGUUCAGAGUGUUACUGUAAUGUUUUAGCACAGUGUUAUUGUAAUGUUUUAGCACAGUGUUACUGUAAUGUUUUGCACAGUGUUACUGUAAUGUUUUAGCACAGUGUUAUUGUAAUGUUUUAGCACAGUGUUAUUGUAAUGUUUUAGCACAGCGUUAGUGUAAUGUUUUAGCACAGUGUUACUGUAAUGUUUUAGCAGAGCGUUCAGAGUGUUAGUGUAAUGUUUUAGCACAGUGUUACUGUAAUGUUUUU